Long non-coding RNA from Triticum aestivum (bread wheat), 2015 nucleotides. RefSeq lists it as uncharacterized. The record is from RefSeq and is a predicted model, not a curated record. The transcript has 3 exons. Lineage: Eukaryota; Viridiplantae; Streptophyta; Magnoliopsida; Poales; Poaceae.
UUCUAGCCCCUGCCUCCCCGCACCUAUCGCCACCGCCCCUCGCUAAAAUAAAACCCACACGCCUGACGGCCGACGACGCACGACCCUCCUCCCUCGAGCAGCAGCAACGGAGCGGCGCGUAGGGGCUCAACCUAUGUCGACGGGCGGCGUGGUCCCUCUCCUCCAUCGAGUAGCGGCAGCGGCACGGGACGCAGCGGGCUCGGCCUUCGUCGGUGGCGGCAGGGUCCCUUUCCUCCCUCGACCAUCGGCGGCGGCACCGAAUGCAACAGGCGGCCAGGGAGACGGCGCUGCGUGCAAGGCGCGGCAACGAAGCUGAGGGAGCCGGCCCUUGUGGCACGGGGGCGCGACGGUUCCAUGGCGGCUGUGGGGUGGAGGGCGCGUGCGUGAAGGCGGCGCAUUCCUUUGGCUUUCGGCAUGCCGCGGCAUUGACUUCCCUGCUGUCGUCGUGCUCCCUGAUGCCAGCUCCUCCUUCCUCCCGCCGCUGGACAUGCACAACACCAUCCCAUGCCCUCUGUCCGCUGGCCAGAGAAAGGCAUCAGUGAGAAAUAUGGAUGAUGCACGCGAACGGAUUGGCACUCCCAUCUCCACUGCACUGAAGGAGAUCAAGCCCAUUUCCAUCAGCAUCAACUAGAACCUCCCCUCGACCUGCAUCCUUGCCUUUCUUUUGUAUCUCCCCAAGACUGUCAAACCAGAUGAGCCUGAAAGGAACUAAGAGAAAUGACUAUUCAUUUGGCUUUGGUAUUACUAUUGUUGAUGAACUGCUCAUUUGCCAGACUGUCAAACCAGAUGAGCCUGAAAGGAACUAAGAGAAAUGACUAUUCAUUUACCAAUCUUGCCAUUCUCUGUAUUGUCAAUUUGCCAAUUCGACUGAUGCUUGAAUGUAUUAGUAGACAAAAUGACCUGUUUGUUGAUCAGCUAUGAUAUGUGUUUCCAUUGGCUACUUGCCGCUUUCUAAGGGGCAGAUUUUAGCUUGACAAGAUUUUUGCAAAAACAUAGCAGUGCUCUUGAUCUGAUGGAAACUCAGAGUAGGGUGUUCCAAACUAGAUUGAUACACGUAAGAAUUUUUGACUGAUUUUUAUGCUCAGAGCUACAUACAUGCUUGCAGCGCUUCACCUAUCCUAGAACUUUCAUUUCAAUUUUUGUGUCGCUACAAUUUGUCCAUUAAUCGAUAUUCUAGCUCCAUUAAUCGGUAUUCUAGCUGAAAGUUUCAAAGUUGUCAAUUGUUUUCGAAACACGGUUCACAGAGUGGCUGGUCCUUUUUUGGGACAUAUUUGUUGUGUCUUUUCCCCAUUUUGUCUUGUAUUUUUUCAUACACAGUUCAAUUAGCUAAUUGUUAUUAUGCCAUAGGUAAAUUGUGCAACCUAUUGCCGCUCUGCCAUGGGUCACAUGGUCGUCCUUCAUACACCGCUUUACUAGGACUAACGCUGAAGUACAGAUGAUGGUGUAUGUAAGUUUUCACUAUUUCCUCAGUUUUUGUUUUUCCACAGUUUUCUAACUGGGGUCCUCACACAUUUUUUGUGUGUGUACAUUACGGGCCACCUAGAAAAUUCCAAAAGAAGUUGCCUCUUGUUUGGACACCCCAAAGCACGGGCUGGCAAGACUAAGAUUGGGCAAAGAGAGCUUCAGGAGGACCGUUUAUGACACCUCACUCGACGGUUUAUUCUUCAAGCAAGGAUGGAAGAAGUUCCUCACGAGACAUGACAUGAGAUUAGCACUGCUAUACUAAUUACAUUUAAGACUGUUGCCAACAAUGAGUUGGAGAUUAUAGUCAUCCUUUUAUGUCCUUUGAGAAGAUCAUGUUGGACAAGUUCCAGGCUUUCAUGAGUUAUUUAGUCAUUUCUCAGCGUUUUUUAAACCAUGGAGGAGAACUGCAUGUGAACUUCAUAGAUACGAGAAGAAAAGAAUAAAGGCAUGUAAAAAGUUCAAUUCAUUUUCUGUUUAUUUUGUUUCCUCUUUCUCUACGUACUGGUUUUUGAACUGUGGUUUGUGAAUCGGAUGUAUAUAUUCAUGUUUUA